AGCUCCAAUAGCGUAUAUUAAAGUUGUUGCAGUUAAAAAGCUCGUAGUUGGAUUUCUUGUGCAUGAAGCGGGUCGGCUCAAAGAGUCUGUACUAGCUUUCAUGCACAAUCCUCGUAACAAGCUGUCGGUGAGUUAACUCCAUUCGGCAGUGAGUUGCGUCAUUUACUGUGAACAAAUUAGAGUGUUUAAAGCAGGCAAAUGCUGUGAAUACAUUAGCAUGGAAUAAUAAGAUAGGACCUAGAGUCUAUUUUGUUGGUUGCGAUUUUAGGUAAUGAUUAAUAGGGAUAGUUGGGGGUAUUCAUAUUCAAUUGUCAGAGGUGAAAUUCUUGGAUUUAUGGAAGAUGAACAACUGCGAAAGCAUUUACCAAGGAUGUUUUCAUUAAUCAAGAACGAAAGUAGG
RNAcentral lists this ribosomal RNA (400 nucleotides) under phytoplankton environmental sample. Its description in RNAcentral is "partial small subunit ribosomal RNA". It matches the Rfam family "Eukaryotic small subunit ribosomal RNA", at positions 587 to 993 of the family's 1831-position model. The record is from RNAcentral.